AUGUACUUAUCCCGUAAUUUUCUGACACUAACACCACUACGUACAAGCAAAGAUCAGGGCAAGAUGAUUUAUUCUCCUAUUUAACUCCAGUUCCAAGAUGUCUCUCUAUUACUCUCAUGGUUCUCAAUUUUUGGAGUGGAUGAAGAUGAACACACACAACCCAUAAGUAAAACAGCUGACUUACACUGAGUUUCCUAAACACUUUGUUUGGAACAGAAUUACUAAAAAGUGGACCAGGCGUAAAAGAAAUUCAGGUGUUACUCAGAUGCAAUUUAGGUCAACAGCUAUUGGUGAUCAGUUUUACAUGAGAAUCCUUUUAACACAUAGAAGAGGUGAAACCAGUUUUGAAGAUUUACGUACUGUUGAUGGUAUUUUAUAUCCUACGUUUAGAGAUGCAUGUUUUGCUCUAGGUGUCCUUCAAUAAGAAGAAUAAUAGCAGUCAAUGCAAUCCAAUUUUCUA
Molecule: non-coding RNA, 460 nt
Organism: Camelina sativa (false flax)
Lineage: Eukaryota; Viridiplantae; Streptophyta; Magnoliopsida; Brassicales; Brassicaceae
Source: RefSeq, a predicted model, not a curated record